AGAAUCAACGCUGGCGGCGUGCCUAACACAUGCAAGUCGAACGCGAAAGCCCCGAAAGGGGCAAGUAGAGUGGCAAACGGGUGAGUAACACGUGGGUGACCUGCCUUCGAGCGGGGGAUAACGUCCCGAAAGGGACGCUAAUACCGCAUAACACCCUGCCUUUGAAGAGGUGGAGAUCAAAGCUGGGGAUUCGCAAGAACCCGGCACUUGAAGAGGGGCCCGCGUCUGAUUAGCUAGUUGGUGGGGUAACGGCCUACCAAGGCAACGAUCAGUA
Molecule: ribosomal RNA, 274 nt
Filed under: uncultured soil bacterium
Lineage: Bacteria
Description: partial 16S ribosomal RNA
Rfam family: Bacterial small subunit ribosomal RNA
Source: RNAcentral